GACGAACGCUGGCGGCGUGCUUAACACAUGCAAGUCGAACGAUGAAGCUGGAGCUUGCUCCGGUGGAUUAGUGGCGAACGGGUGAGUAACACGUGAGAAAUCUGCCCCUGACUCUGGGAUAACUGCGGGAAACUGUAGCUAAUACCGGAUACUUUCCCUGGUGGGCAUCCACUGGGGAAGAAAGAAUUUCGGUCAGGGAGGAUCUCGCGGCCUAUCAGCUAGUUGGUGAGGUAACGGCUCACCAAGGCGACGGCGGGUAACCGGCCUGAGAGGGUGACCGGUCACACUGGGACUGAGACACGGCCCAGACUCCUACGGGAGGCAGCAGUGGGGAAUAUUGCACAAUGGGCGCAAGCCUGAUGCAGCAACGCCGCGUGAGGGAUGAAGGCCUUCGGGUUGUAAACCUCUUUUAGCAGGGAAGAAGCGAAAGUGACGGUACCUGCAGAAAAAGCACCGGCUAACUACGUGCCAGCAGCCGCGGUAAUACGUAGGGUGCAAGCGUUGUCCGGAAUUAUUGGGCGUAAAGAGCUCGUAGGCGGUUUGUCACGUCUGCUGUGAAAAUCCAAGGCUCAACCUUGGACUUGCAGUGGGUACGGGCAGGCUAGAGUGCGGUAGGGGAGAUGGGAAUUCCUGGUGUAGCGGUGGAAUGCGCAGAUAUCAGGAGGAACACCAAUGGCGAAGGCACAUCUCUGGGCCGUAACUGACGCUGAGGAGCGAAAGCGUGGGGAGCGAACAGGAUUAGAUACCCUGGUAGUCCACGCCGUAAACGGUGGGUGCUAGCUGUGGGCCACAUUCCACGUGGUCCGUGACGAAGUUAACACAUUAAGCACCCCGCCUGGGGAGUACGGCCGCAAGGCUAAAACUCAAAGGAAUUGACGGGGGCCCGCACAAGCGGCGGAGCAUGCGGAUUAAUUCGAUGCAACGCGAAGAACCUUACCAAGGCUUGACA
This 949-nucleotide ribosomal RNA is filed under the name uncultured bacterium. RNAcentral's name for it is "bacterial SSU rRNA". It matches the Rfam family "Bacterial small subunit ribosomal RNA", at positions 28 to 986 of the family's 1533-position model. The record is from RNAcentral.